This is a long non-coding RNA of Oreochromis aureus, 2032 nucleotides long. RefSeq lists it as uncharacterized. The record is from RefSeq and is a predicted model, not a curated record. NCBI's taxonomy places the organism in Eukaryota, Metazoa, Chordata, Actinopteri, Cichliformes, Cichlidae. The transcript is spliced from 4 exons.
ACCAACCGAACCUCCGAGGGGUUUUCUUUACAUCCUACUCUUUUAUCUCUACUUCUCAGAGGUCAACUGAAACCAACCCCACCUAUAUAAAAACACCCUAAUCAGACUGUCACGGUUCUGGGUCAGUGUUGACCCAGCAUUUUGAGUUUCUUAUAUUUUGGUUUAUUUUUGCAUUAUGGAUUAUUUUCUGAUGUUCUGGUGCUUUGUUCAUUAUUAUUAUUAGCAAUAAAGCUGUGUAUUUUGAAGUUUCUUCCGCCUCCGUGAGUCCUGCAUUUUGGGUCCUCUCUUCCUGCCUGCCUACAAACAGACAUGACACAGACACCCUGUAUUUUUCCUCACUACUACACAUCAGCCCUUGCGAGCACAACGCUUGUUCAGCAGGACGGACAGCAAAGCUAACAGUGUUCUUUUGUUGUUUAACAUGGACUUCAUAUAUGGGUCAAUAAGCUGUCCAGAAAUACCUACAGCAGCGGGAGCAAUAAGACCAAGCCUUACAUUAGACCUGAGACAGAGUACGCAGCGUGUCAAGAACCGGGGCCAUCCAGAAUAACACAGACCAAUGUCAAUCACACAACCCCUUCCCACGAUGCGGACCAUGACGACCCCUUGAUGCUUUUGGAAUAUAUACGCGAUAUUGAACUCCCAGAACAACAAGAAAAACCACAAGCUUUGUGCAACAAUGGAGACUAAGAACCAUUCUUCAUCACCGGACCAUACAUACACGCGAGUGCCUGCCUUGUGAUUUCAGCGAUAUUCCUGAGUACAGCCUAUCAGAUUUCAAUAUAGUUGACAUACCCACUACGCCAGAAUGUCUCAGAAACAACAGUGAUACAGACAUAGGUUUUGAAGAAGGCUGCAUAACAGACUCGCAAAUAUCACAGACAUAUAACGCAUACUUAAAUGCAGCAAACACCUCUAAUUUUGAUCAGAGCCAUUCUGCUUCAAACAACGAUAUACUAUCUUUGAUCGAUGCUAAACUCAGCCAACAUCAACAAGCAGUACAGAGGGAUGUGCAAGAAAUAGCAGCUAAAGUCAGCCAACAUCAAGAAGCAGCACAGGGGGACUUGCAAUUAAUAGCAGUGGCUCUAACUAGUACCCAGCAGGCAAUAAACAAUACCUGGGGUUUAUUAGAUCUCAUUAGUACCAGAUUGUUAAAUCACUGACUUUUAAAGUCUACACCAUGGACCCACCCUGUAAAUUAUUCAAACACAAUGAUGGUACCUCCACUCGAGCUAAAUGGUUUCACUUUGAGGCUUUUAACCAGUGGGCUGCGCAAAUAAUAAACAAAUGCGAAGUUUUGCAUGCAAGACUUAGUAGUGUCGCUGUAGCAGACAGUCCUGUGUCUAAUGCACGUCCUUGUCCAACUCAUUCUGAAGCUGUUGCCGAUGAUGCUGUUUAUAUCGAUGUUGUUGCUCAUGCAACCGAUUCACAUCCAGAUAUGCUGCUGCUGCCGCUGCUGUAGGGACUGUUGUUACUCAGGCUACCGCUGAUUGUCUUAUUGCUGAGGCUUCUGUCACAGCUGAUCGGGAGUGUGCACCUGGCGUACAUGCGUAUCUGGGUGCCGCUACAGCUGCUGCUGACGCAUCACCACACAACCCCUCAAACAAUGGAAAUUCCUUAAGUGUUAACCAUUCACAAACAGGUGCUGCAGUAUUCGAGCCCAUUGUUCAGUCUGGGGCAGGCAGUCACAGUCAGCGUAGCAUUAGAGAGAUACUUAAUUUCAACGCCCGAGAAUUGCGUGAGCGCCUUGAUUUUAGGGACAUAAGUCUUGAUGAUCCAGAACAAGUGUCAGAAAGAGUUAGAAGCUGCUUAGCCAAUGUGAUAGAGCUUUGGCUGGAUCUCAGCAGGGUCAUGUUCUAAAUGUGGUCCUGCGUGGACCCUCGUUGGCUUCAGAUGGUCAAGCUGUUUUAAAUCCUGAUGAUCAGUAUGACCCUGACCUGUUUCUCGACCAAAUAGCUCAAGUUAUGCAAAGUAAUGACGAAUUUAUAGGUGAUGGUGAAUUAGAGUUUAUUGUCACGGUUGUGCAAAACAG